Molecule: long non-coding RNA, 4964 nt
Filed under: Phaseolus vulgaris (common bean)
Lineage: Eukaryota; Viridiplantae; Streptophyta; Magnoliopsida; Fabales; Fabaceae
Description: long non-coding RNA (PVUL_LNC000835)
Source: RNAcentral
AUCAGAAAGGGUUAUGAAUUAAACCCUAAUUGAAUUGAGGAUAUAAACAAGGUUAGUGAAUUUAAAAGGUUUUUAGCAUAGGGUUUUCAAAGUGGGAGAUCGCAUUGAUGUAAAGCUUAUAGAGGUAUGUCAUGUUAUGGUUGAUUUUUAUGUAUAUAGUCCAUAUCUACAUAAUUGAGUUGAUUGAUGUUGUUAGUUGUUGAAAUGGAAAAAGAAAAUGGUAACCGUCUUUAUAUAUAAAGAGGUCCACAAAUCAAUUUGGUUUUGGUGCUGUUCUUAUUGAGUAAGCAAAUAUGAGGCCUACCUACGCCUAAAUAGGCACAGCCAUAUUGAAUGAAUUGAAUUUAAAACUAAAUUUAUUAUUUUCUUGAUCUUAUUAAAAUAAUUAUGAUAAAAGUCUUUUAUAUUAAGAAUGGUAUAAAAAUUAUUAUAAUUUUAUUUUUCAUUUGAAAAUUUUGUAUGACUAUGGUUUAAAACUAAUAAUAUCAUUCAAUUGCAGUGUCUUUGGAUAAAAAUAAUUACUGUUUACACAAAAAAAUGAAUCAUUUUGAGUUUAUAUCUAUUAAAAUAUUAAUUAAUUUUACCACAAACUCUUAAUCUAUUUCUAUUAAUUUUCUAUUCUAAUUUCGUAAUUUAAGACAUUCUUACUCGUGUGGAAAAGAGAAUAGCUAGAGAAAAGAAAAGGCAGGAAGAGGUAUUUUAAUAUGGAAAAACAUACAUUGUAUAGAUAUUUUAAUGGAGGUUGACUAGGCAAAAGGCUCAACCUUGUGUAAUGGGGAAAAUGAAAAAGAAUUUUUAGAAACCAAAUCGGGGCAAAAUGAAAACGAAUACUAAAUAAAAGCUUCGAUUGAGAUGAUGGAGCUUCGAUUGAGAGAUGAAGAUUAGAAUAUAUGGAGACGAAGAGCAAACGACUACGGUGUGUAUAAAAACCAUGAAACCCUAUAAGUCUGUGAAAAACUACGGAAAGUAUGUAAGAAUAUGAGAGUGUGAAAAUAUAUUAUGGGAUAUAAGACACUUUGGCGCAAUUUAAAAAAAAAAUCGUUUAGACUUCUUAGGGGUUCAAAUAACUCCUCGUUAGUGCUUCUCUUUCAAGAGGUUAUUAUAACCCCUCUUAAAAAAAAACCCUUGUUAUAAUUUAUUUAUUUUUUGUAGUGACCAUGUUCUUAAAAUUUUAUGUUGUUUUAAAACACUUUUGUCUGUGUCUGGACACGUGUUGUCACAUGUCAAAUUUAAUUAUUAACUAGAGUUUGAUGAAAAAAGGAAAAUUUAUAUUUUAUAUAUAUAUAAACUAUAGAUAUAUAUAAAAACUAUACAAUACAUGUGGAACUUGCACCAGGUGCUUCUACUUGGUCCCAAAUUCAUGUCACACUUUGGGGGGGAACUUCAGCUUGUCAGCCACGUCUGGGAUGGCGAUCAAUUCCUUGUGAUUCAUUUUAAACUUGUGUCAACAGGACAAGUCUCCUUUCGCUUGCGCCCUAUCUGAUGCUUUUCGGCUUGUAGGGUGCAUGUCUGACUAUGAACUGCUCCCUGAACAAUGCAGAAAACUGAUCGAAUGAGGUUGUGUCCAUCAAGGAGACCAAUGAAUCAUUCUAGUGUCGUGCCUUCGAACGUCCCCAUGAACAACUUGCAGUGCAUUGUGUCUGUCCCUUCGAAGAUCAUCAUUUGAGUAUGGAAAGCCGUGAUGUGGGUUUCCAGGUUUUCGGUAUAUGUGAAAGUGAUUAUGGGUGUAAUGAAAUUGGUUGGUAUCACGACAUCCAUGAUCGUCUGGGAGAACUGCAUGGGGCGAGCCCUAACUGGAAUAGGCAGGCUUUGCUCCCCUAUUGUGCGUUCCCCCAAACGCUUUAGAUCUCUCCGCAACUCCUCAUUGGCCUUGCGUAACUCUUCGUUGUCUGUCCGCGACACAUCCAACUCGACCUUGAAUUGGUCUUAGCAGAAUAGAUUUGUCUGCAUUAACCAUAUUAUUAGCAAGAAAAAAAUAUUGUAGACAUUAUUAGUAUCUAUGGGACAACUUUUUAAGAGUUCAAAGCAUAUUCAUCGCACACAAAGCAUACUUAUUUGUGAGGGUUAUGAAUUUGAUGAAAGGAAAUUAUUCAAAUCUUGAUUCACUUUCCACAUUUAUUCUUCUUUGGUGCAGAGGAUUUGGCAGAAAAUGAAGGUAGGAAUAUGUGUAUUCAUACAAAUGGAAAUUAGAUUUUGAGAACCAAAGUUGUAGGGUGGCCAGGAGGUCGGAGGAGAAGAUAUGUGGCAUGCAAGAGACAAACUUAAUCCAGGCAAUUGCUUCCUGCACCCACACUUUUGAACCUGCACCCAACACAAUUUCAAAAAUUCCAAAAAUACCUUUUAUUCUGGAAAUAAAAAUUUGGAAUAAAAAGUAAUGUAUUUUGGUAGAUCCGGAAGAGAUUAUUGUGUUCUGGAUAUAAAAAUCUGGAAAAAAAAUCAAAAUCUCAUUCCAAAUAAAAAAAAUUAGAACUGAAAAUAAUACAUUUUGAAAAAUUUUAUCCAGAAGAGAUUAUUGUGUUCGGAAAAAAGGGUCCAGAAUGUAAUUUUAUAUGUACCCAUUUUUUUAAGGGUAUUUUUGUUUUUUCCCUUCUAAUUGGGUGCAGUGAUAUGGUGCAGGAAUCAAUUAUCCUUUGUCAUGUCAGCAAUUUGCACAAUAAUGAGACCCUUAUACUAGACUUAUCCACGUUGGGGUGGAGAAAGUAAUUGUGAGGCGGGUCCUGUUGGUGUGGAUGCGAGAAGCCUGAUGGUAGGGAAUGAAGGAAUCGCCGUGGGAAUUAUUGACUUUAGCAUGUGAAAUUAGCAAUACUAAUAUUUAAUUAGUUAAAUGGAAUUAUAGUUAUUAUAUAGGUUGAUAUGAGAUUUUGUGGUUGUUACAGUAAAAAUGUAAAAAAAAAAUACAAUAAAUGUGGUAUGAAAAUCAUAUUUGAUCCAAUAUUUUUUCAAAUUCUUAUAUUUUCUUACCUUUUUCUUUCACUUUUAUAUUUUUUUAAUUUUAAUAAUAUUCUUUUGCGAUGUUACAUUUUUCUUUAUUUUCAAAUGGUGAUGGUUAUUUGUGGUGGUUGAUAGUGAACCUUACUAAUUAAAUUAAGUUUUGAGUAUUUUUUUUACUGGUGAUGGUUGUGUUUUUGUUUGUUUAUUUUUUUUAAGUCAUAAAACUCAAAAAGAAACCAACUAGGUGUAAAAACGGGAUAAAGAAUCUUCUCAUCAACUCUCUCACCAAUUUUGUUUACUGGAGUGUGAUAUGAAAAGGAAAUGUCAGUUUUUUCUUGGAACCCUACAAUGUUAUGCAGAGACAAAUAUAUCUCUAGUAUUUUCUAAAAAACCUAAAAUGCACUUAAGAUCCACAUUCAACUCUUCUUCCUUUGCCCACAAACUGCAUACACAAACUCCAUUUCUCUUUAAACAGUGGCGACACUGCUCCAUCCCUUGGCACAAGAAGGUAUCUUCAUCUUAUUUUUUAGGACAAAAUUUUUUGUAGUUUGUGAUAAUGUAAGAACGUAAAAAUAUUAAACACCACAUACCCCUCGUCCCACGCACGAAACUUUUCUUUCUUUCUCUCUCCGUCUCUCCCAACUCAUAUUCUCUUCCUUCUCUCUUAAUUUCCUCUCCCAAUCUUCAUCUAUUGUAGAAUCUGAUCGCACCACAUUGUAGCUGAGGAGUUAAGGAACAUUUCUACCCGAUCAGAUUUUCAAUCAAAGUAAAUUCAUUUUUGUUCUAAAGAUCCUUUAUUCUAUAUUUCUCCUUAGGAUUUAGUCAUCAAUCUUGGUGAGGUUAGUUGAGAAGAGUAAUCCUCUUAACUUAUUCUACUAUAUACUGAAUUUUUAUUUUGUUUGGAUAACUUGCAUUAGGCCCUUAAAUCUUACCGCUUAUCCGGAUUGAGAGGAUAAAGUUCUAGAAGUUGCUUGGAAAACAAGCAUUAAGGUAAGGGAAACUAACUUUAAUUUUCAAUAGUACCCUAGAAUAUCUGAAUAUGGAGGGGAUGUGGUCUCAAUAUUCAAUUUCUUUUGCAAGGAUGUUGUUUAUUUAUAUAUUGUGUUUUUGUUUUUAUAUUUUUUAAACUUGUAAAAAUAUUAGAUUUUGAUAGUUUGGAAGUUAAAUAUUGUUUUUGACGUUGGAAAGGUUCUUGAAUGUUAUGAAUUUUAAAAUGUUAUGUGAUUGAGUGAUAUGUAUUAUAUAUGAAUGAUGAAAAUUAUAUGAAAUUGUGUCAUAUAUUUGGAAUAAUGUAUGAGUUGUUAUUUCAUGACAUUCAGUAUGAAAAAUCUAUGUUUAGUAGCGAUCAUCUAGCUUCACUGAUAAUCUAAGUCAUAUAGAUUAAGAUAUCAGGUGGUAAGAAGUUGAGAGAGAGUUCAUACACAUCGGGUCCCGUUGUAGACAUUCGGUAUUGGAUGUUUGAACUUACCCUGAUCCUUUCACUUAGAUUCGUUGGUAACCUUUGGAUUAGGUGUUAAUCUUUGGUAUGGGCAUACUUAAUGAGUCUUUCGGAAGACGAUGAAUUCAUGUGUAGUCAGUGGGAUUGAAAUGAAAUCUAAUGUCUGUGAUUGAAAAUACAUUCAUGUGUGGUCUAUAUUAAUGGUGAAAUUGGUAUUGCAAUUUUAUAUGACAACAUUUAAAGAAAUGUUUAUAAAUUAUUAGUUUGAUUGGUUGUUUUUGUAUGAAUUAGAUAUGUUAUGAAAUUUCUUGUCAUUAACUUACCCUUGCUUUUUCUUGUUGUGUUUGAACUUCGAUGACUCUACACGAGCAGAUGAUCAUACAUGUGUCGGAGGAUCUGAAGAGCUUUAGGGUGUUGUUUUGAAACUUAUAUUGUAAAUAUUUGUAUUUCUAUAAGCUCUAAUAAUAUAUUAUGAAUGUUUUGAAAAACUUUAAAUUUGUAUAGAAAUAUGUAUGACUUGUAUUGUAAUACUUUUGGGAUGCCACACUUUUAAAUUUAUUGUUUAUAGAAAUUCUUUAAUAUUUGUAUUUCAAAA